CGGCGCAACGGGGGAGGGUCACGGGAGACUGAUCGACUAGAAGGCAGGAGAGGGUAGUGGAAUUCCCGGUGUAGUGGUGAAAUGCGUAGAUAUCGGGAGGAACACCAGUGGCGAAGGCGACUACCUGGCCUGUUCUUGACGCUGAGGCGCGAAAGCUAGGGGAGCAAACGGG
RNAcentral lists this ribosomal RNA (172 nucleotides) under uncultured bacterium. RNAcentral describes it as "partial 16S ribosomal RNA". It matches the Rfam family "Bacterial small subunit ribosomal RNA", at positions 605 to 776 of the family's 1533-position model. The record is from RNAcentral.